GAAAAUAGAAUAAAAAUGAAAUUAUAAGAGAAAUUAGGAAAGAAAAUUGAAAAUAAAAGAAAUUAGAAAAUAAAAUUAUAUAUAUAUAUAUAUAAAUGAGGGCCUGAUGGCCUUUAAAUCAAGGCCAUACGGCCAUCAAGAAAGCUAUGGCCAAUUGGCCAUUAAAAUAAUAAAAUAAAAUAAAAAGAAAAAUCAAAAAGUCAAAAAGGUGAAAGAAUAAAAGAAGAGAGGUGCACGUGCACCUCCCUUCUCAAAUAAUGGAAAGGCCAAAUGGCCUUUCCAAAGCAGAGGCCGUGCGCCUCUGCUGUCUCAAAAAGAAAAGAAGAAAAAAAUGAAAAGGGGUCAUCUGACCCGAGAGAAAAAGAAAUAGGAAGGAGAUGAUUUUUAUACAAAAAUUAUGAUCUAUGAAGAUCCAAUCGUCCAAACUCGAAUCCGACUUCGGUAACGUAAUUCUUGAAGCCCGAUCUACAUUUUGACCGAACGUUUUGAGAUUUUGUGUGGUUUGGAGUUGCUAGGAGCUUCCCGAGCACUGGGUCUUGGUGUGGUGAAUUUUUGCGGCACGUUACGGUUGAGCUUAGAGUCGUUUGGAUAUUGGGAGUACAAGCAAUCUGAGAUGAUGUUUCUUUGGCUGCAGGUACUUCGGUAUAGUCGAUGGGUCAAUAGCAGUGUGCUUGGGAUAUUAUGACUGAAGCUCGCCGCGACAGUUGUAAUGGUCGGACCACGGGUUGUCCACUAUUUUAUAGGUUUGGUAUGGCUUGUGACGUUUGUGUCACUUAUUCUUUGUUAAGCCAUUGUUGUUAUUGUGUUAAUAAGACUCAAACAGAUAGAUGUUAAAUGGCUCUUUGUUGUAAUUAACUUGUGAUAGAUGUAUAAGUUGUAAUUUUCGCUAUUCAGAUUUAUGUUUUCCGUUGCAUAGAUAGAUGUAUGUCAUACUCUGAUUAUCAGGUACAUGUUAUGGGGCAUGUGCCAUAUGUUGGCUGAGCGACACGUAGUCGUGCCACUGCGAUGACUCGUUUUACGUUUUUUUUAAAAAAAAAAAAAAAAAAAAAACGGGUCGUCACAGAAAAUGGUAUCAGAGCAGUUUGUUCUAGGGUUUGUUAGGAAAAGCGGAAGUCUAGGUUUGUAUUAGAGUCUUAAGUGUAACAAAAGAGCCUUAAGAUUCUAAAAGAUUUAACACAAACAAGAAAAACUUAAAAAUGAAUUCUUGUAUGCAUUGCAUGGAUUUUGUAAUGCAUUCAUUAGGAUUUGUGUUGUCUACGUAGCAUAGUUCUUUAUAGACAGGCUAUGCCACUUAGACAAUGACCUCUUCUUUAGUUUGGAGGUGUUGCAUGCGUCUUGUUUGAUUCAAGUGCAACGCGUUCCAUUUGUCUCGUUCACGUAUGUGGAGUUGUGUGGGUUGUCCCUUAGGUCGAAACAUGCGUGGCCACCUUUGUUGGCGACGCUAUUAUUGGUAGGCCUAGGUGUCUAGUCGUUUAGCCUUUUAGAAGAGUCUAGCAUGAUUGUGACUAUAGGCGACGUAAGAGAGAGCUUCUCGUGAGAGUAGACUAAUAACCGUCCUUUAAGAAGUGGUGACGUAUUCUUAGGGCGCAUCGAAGGAGACUUGAAUCUUGAAGAGCACGAGACCGUUGUACGAGAUCAAUUCAAGGAAGCGGCCUAACUGCAACUACAAAGACGACACCCUAGGGAGGCGAUAACCAUCAACCAAGCAGCUGUUCAGACAACGAGAGAUGUAUCGUCUAGGGAUUCAACCAAUAAGUACGAGUUAAAAUAGUAGAAUAUUAAUGUGGAAUAGACUAAUAAGCAAAUAGCAAAAAUAAUAAAUUUCAAGAUAUCUUGUUUUAAUAAACUGUGGAUUAAAGAAUAAUUUUUAAAGCAAGGAGUUAAGUUAAGAAUGACUAAUUAAUAAAAUUUAUGGGCUAAACCAAAUACUCUUAAAACAUGAUUUCAAACAUUAGAGUUAACUUAAAAUGUAGUUGUGCAAACAUGCUUUGUGUGUUAAGUAUAAGAUUUAACACAAAUAAUUAUUAAAGAAAAAGUGAUAGUUCAAUAUGAACUUUCAAUAUAUGGUGGUAUGUGUUUGACAAUAUUGUUUGAAUUAGGUCCAAGUAUUAGAAAAAAAAGUUAAUUGCUACUUGAUCUUUGAUGAGAUCAUGGUGUCAUAGUAUAUUUUCGGUGAUGAAACCAAUAUUUAGGAAAAUUUAUGUGUUGAAGGUAUAGAUGACAGUGCAAUAGUAAGGAGUUAAUAGAUUAGAUCAAUAAUAUGUUGAGGAUAUGCCACCAAUCAUGCGUAAGGAGCAAGUUAAGGCAUAGUGAUGUCAAGUUAAGUGUGAAAAUCUCAAUGGUUUACCAAUUUGAGGAUAGUAGUACCUAUGAAUUAAGAUGGAUAAAUCAUAAAACCACAUGAGACCAAGUAAGAUAUUGAAUUUUAAGAGAAACUUAGUAAGCCCACACUAGAUUCGGGGUGUUUUAAAGGUCACAACUGUGGACAAUUAGAGUCAUUCCAAUAUGAUUUUAGAAGUUGAUAAGGUAAGUGAUAGAGGAAUGAGAAAUUCACCUUAAGUCAUAAUUUGGAAAAUGAGUUUUGAACUAAGGAGGGGAGACCUAGUGAAUCAACUUGGACUGAAGAGGAUGUAAGUUCAAAUGAAUGAAGUAUGGGUUAGCAAGUGUUGGUAUUAGUUAUGACUUUGAGGUUAAGAAUAGAAUGCAUGGCGCUAAUGGUUUGUGAGAUUUAGUGGGCAAUUAUCAACUAAGACAGUUUGCUCAAGUAAGGUGUGCCCACUCACGCCGAGCAAUGCUAAAGUCCGUCCAACCAUCGCAAAUGUUGUUAAUGCUACCAUAGGUAUUAUACCUAUAUGUUGUAGCAUUGUGUACAUUUGACUUAUUGGAGUUUUAUCCAUUCGUAUGUUUUACUAUGCAUUGUUACAUGCAUAAUGGGCACCAAACCUUUAAAAUUAAUGUGCGUGACCAUUUCUAUUGGUGACGCAUUUGUCAACAGUAAAUAUAGAAGUCAUUGCCUUAGCACUAUAUGGGUGAUGACAUUGUUAACUCUAGUUUUUGACAUGAUGAGCUACAGUGUCCAACUCAUUUAGUUUGAUAUGUUAAGUAGUUCACCCUUGUCUCAUUUGUAUUGUAAGCGAUGCAAAUUGAGCAUUCAACCCUUAGAUUAGAACUUAUGCGUGGCCACUCAUAUAGAUGACGCCUUUGCUUAUAAGGAGCAUGUGAACAAGUGUGCCAUAGGUAUUAGAGAAAAGACUCUGCCAGCAAAGCUAGCAGUGUUAUGUGUGUAGAGUUCUAAUGUUAGCAUACUUAGCUUUAACAUGUAAUGUGUUGAGUUUUAAUGCCAUGCAUAUAGGAUAUCGGUGUUCGACAUGCUAAACAAUAAAGCUUAUCAUGUUGAACUACAAUGUUAACUCGUUGGAGCUUUGGUGUUAAUUUGGUACGGAUUGACGAUCAAGAAGUAGAAGUGAACGUAGAUAAUCACGAAUGGGAGGUUGUAUUCCUACCCCAUUGUAUAGAGAGUCCAAACUUUGGGGGUCUCGUUUGUGAGUUACUCUGCAAUUCCUCUCUGAUAUCCAACAAUGAUGAAUUUUUGAGAGUGUACACUUGUAUGUUUGGCUUAUUCCUAAGCCAAGCUCAAAAUCGAGUCCGAGUUGGGAACAUCUUGAUAGUACUGAUGUUUCCACUUUAGUAUCGAGUCUAUGUAGUCGUGCAUGGAUUACCAUGUGAUAGACCUAGCGACGAUCUAGGAUGAGUGUUCCAUAAAGAAAACUGACGGCUUGUUCGGUUAACUCAUGAAGCUUUGGUAUUCUUGGGAGAUUGACUUUCUUCUGAGAUACCAUCGACUUUUGGUGCAAAAGGUAAUGUGCCAAAGUCAACGAUCUAUAUAUGGUAUGACCGUUAUGAGUUUUGGUUAUGCCAUUUGGAUUGACAAAUACACCAUCAAUAUUUAUAGAUUUGACGAGUCAAGUGUUCCAUGAAUACCUAGACAAGUGAUAAGUAUAACGUCGACACAUUAGUCUAUUCGGCUAUUUGUGUCGAACAUGGAAGACACUUGGUAUCAAUGUUCGAAGUGCUUAAUAAAAGGAAUUCUUCGCCAAGCUCAUGAGGGGUGAGCUUUGCUUAAGGAAGUGUCAUUCUUGGUUUACGUAAUGAACGAAAAUGGACUCGUAGUCAAUACGUUAGCAAGUGAACACACAGUUGUCCUUGUGCUUAACUACCCAGAAAUUUUUGGAUAUGUGGCUUGCACAGAUACAUCACAAUAGGCGAGGAUGCACCCUUGUAUAAUAACAUGGAUAUAAUUUAUGCUACUUAUCAAUUGUGGAUCAUGAGUAUCGUUAUUCUUCUCAUGAUUCAUAGUCAGUAAUCAUUGUCUAUGUCCUACUAUUUUGUGAGCAAAGCACUCCAGUGUUAAGAGAUGGAGACAUGAGAUAACGUUGAUGGCAAGAUUGAUUCAAAGUGUAAUAGGAGUGUUAGUUCAACGUACCUUCCGCGGGCGAGCAGUUGAUCCAAGAGGGCUAUUUAGAUACUUAAGGGUACGCCUAAGUUGUGCGUGUGGGAAUUUAUAAAGUCGGAUAUAAUACUCGCCGUUGGUUGUGACUACUACUUAUGGUAGUUUACAACUAUUGAUGUUGUAUCGCACGUAACUUCGUAAGGACGCAAAGAUGAACGCCAAUUCAUUUGGCAUAAAGUUGGUGUGAGACGAUCAGUGAGCUUUGAAGUGGUGUAUGAUUCUAGGGAAGAUUGCACUCGUUUAAAGUAGAUAUUCACUACAUAGUGAUGGUAAGUUAUGUAGAUAAACAUCGCGGCAAAUCUAUAUUACAAAUUGGUGAUCUUAUGAAAUACAAGGUGUUGCCAAUGCGAAAUAUGUAACGCUUUGGACAAUAGGGAUGUGCUCAACUCUGAAAAAAUAUUGAGUUGUCCUUAGUGCAAAACGUAUGUCCAUCACAUAAUCGGUCAUGAUGUCUCUUAAUUUUAGAGGUUAUUCAUGACAUUUUCCCAUAUUCCUCCGUUACGAACGUGUCUGCGACUCUCCACUUAUGAUGAACUUUUUCAUAUUCAAUGGAAAUUGAUUUAUGAAGAGGUGUAAAAAGAGUGAUGAUCUAUAAGAAAAUACUAAAUUCAUUUCAUUAGUGAUACCUCUGUGGUGAAAUCACGAUGUUGAGGAAGCCACAUGAGUGCUGGACCGUUAAAUGCGGGAGUGAUCCCUUCAUUUUACCGAAUAAAUACGGGUAUGAUUGUUAUGUCAUACAAUUUUCGCAUAAGUACCCUGGGUAAAACGCAUACGUGCAUGGGUAUUUCUAAUAUAGAAUGCAUGCUCGUAUAUGUGUAAAACGAUUAAUGUUCAAAUUUCGAGGACGAAAUUUUUAUAAGGAGGGAGGGAUGUAAUGUCCGGGACAUUAUUUAAUAAAUAAAGUAUAAAAUUUAAGUAAUUAAUUUAUUAAAUUAAUUUAGUGUCACUAAAAAUAUAAAGGAAUAUUUUUAGGUCUAAAGAAAUAGAAAAGAAAAAGAAAUUAUAAGAGAAAAUAGAAUAAAAAUGAAAUUAUAAGAGAAAUUAGGAAAGAAAAUUGAAAAUAAAAGAAAUUAGAAAAUAAAAUUAUAUAUAUAUAUAUAUAAAUGAGGGCCUGAUGGCCUUUAAAUCAAGGCCAUACGGCCAUCAAGAAAGCUAUGGCCAAUUGGCCAUUAAAAUAAUAAAAUAAAAUAAAAAGAAAAAUCAAAAAGUCAAAAAGGUGAAAGAAUAAAAGAAGAGAGGUGCACGUGCACCUCCCUUCUCAAAUAAUGGAAAGGCCAAAUGGCCUUUCCAAAGCAGAGGCCGUGCGCCUCUGCUGUCUCAAAAAGAAAAGAAGAAAAAAAUGAAAAGGGGUCAUCUGACCCGAGAGAAAAAGAAAUAGGAAGGAGAUGAUUUUUAUACAAAAAUUAUGAUCUAUGAAGAUCCAAUCGUCCAAACUCGAAUCCGACUUCGGUAACGUAAUUCUUGAAGCCCGAUCUACAUUUUGACCGAACGUUUUGAGAUUUUGUGUGGUUUGGAGUUGCUAGGAGCUUCCCGAGCACUGGGUCUUGGUGUGGUGAAUUUUUGCGGCACGUUACGGUUGAGCUUAGAGUCGUUUGGAUAUUGGGAGUACAAGCAAUCUGAGAUGAUGUUUCUUUGGCUGCAGGUACUUCGGUAUAGUCGAUGGGUCAAUAGCAGUGUGCUUGGGAUAUUAUGACUGAAGCUCGCCGCGACAGUUGUAAUGGUCGGACCACGGGUUGUCCACUAUUUUAUAGGUUUGGUAUGGCUUGUGACGUUUGUGUCACUUAUUCUUUGUUAAGCCAUUGUUGUUAUUGUGUUAAUAAGACUCAAACAGAUAGAUGUUAAAUGGCUCUUUGUUGUAAUUAACUUGUGAUAGAUGUAUAAGUUGUAAUUUUCGCUAUUCAGAUUUAUGUUUUCCGUUGCAUAGAUAGAUGUAUGUCAUACUCUGAUUAUCAGGUACAUGUUAUGGGGCAUGUGCCAUAUGUUGGCUGAGCGACACGUAGUCGUGCCACUGCGAUGACUCGUUUUACGUUUUUUAAAAAAAAAAAAAAAAAAAAAAAACGGGUCGUCACAGAAAAUGGUAUCAGAGCAGUUUGUUCUAGGGUUUGUUAGGAAAAGCGGAAGUCUAGGUUUGUAUUAGAGUCUUAAGUGUAACAAAAGAGCCUUAAGAUUCUAAAAGAUUUAACACAAACAAGAAAAACUUAAAAAUGAAUUCUUGUAUGCAUUGCAUGGAUUUUGUAAUGCAUUCAUUAGGAUUUGUGUUGUCUACGUAGCAUAGUUCUUUAUAGACAGGCUAUGCCACUUAGACAAUGACCUCUUCUUUAGUUUGGAGGUGUUGCAUGCGUCUUGUUUGAUUCAAGUGCAACGCGUUCCAUUUGUCUCGUUCACGUAUGUGGAGUUGUGUGGGUUGUCCCUUAGGUCGAAACAUGCGUGGCCACCUUUGUUGGCGACGCUAUUAUUGGUAGGCCUAGGUGUCUAGUCGUUUAGCCUUUUAGAAGAGUCUAGCAUGAUUGUGACUAUAGGCGACGUAAGAGAGAGCUUCUCGUGAGAGUAGACUAAUAACCGUCCUUUAAGAAGUGGUGACGUAUUCUUAGGGCGCAUCGAAGGAGACUUGAAUCUUGAAGAGCACGAGACCGUUGUACGAGAUCAAUUCAAGGAAGCGGCCUAACUGCAACUACAAAGACGACACCCUAGGGAGGCGAUAACCAUCAACCAAGCAGCUGUUCAGACAACGAGAGAUGUAUCGUCUAGGGAUUCAACCAAUAAGUACGAGUUAAAAUAGUAGAAUAUUAAUGUGGAAUAGACUAAUAAGCAAAUAGCAAAAAUAAUAAAUUUCAAGAUAUCUUGUUUUAAUAAACUGUGGAUUAAAGAAUAAUUUUUAAAGCAAGGAGUUAAGUUAAGAAUGACUAAUUAAUAAAAUUUAUGGGCUAAACCAAAUACUCUUAAAACAUGAUUUCAAACAUUAGAGUUAACUUAAAAUGUAGUUGUGCAAACAUGCUUUGUGUGUUAAGUAUAAGAUUUAACACAAAUAAUUAUUAAAGAAAAAGUGAUAGUUCAAUAUGAACUUUCAAUAUAUGGUGGUAUGUGUUUGACAAUAUUGUUUGAAUUAGGUCCAAGUAUUAGAAAAAAAAGUUAAUUGCUACUUGAUCUUUGAUGAGAUCAUGGUGUCAUAGUAUAUUUUCGGUGAUGAAACCAAUAUUUAGGAAAAUUUAUGUGUUGAAGGUAUAGAUGACAGUGCAAUAGUAAGGAGUUAAUAGAUUAGAUCAAUAAUAUGUUGAGGAUAUGCCACCAAUCAUGCGUAAGGAGCAAGUUAAGGCAUAGUGAUGUCAAGUUAAGUGUGAAAAUCUCAAUGGUUUACCAAUUUGAGGAUAGUAGUACCUAUGAAUUAAGAUGGAUAAAUCAUAAAACCACAUGAGACCAAGUAAGAUAUUGAAUUUUAAGAGAAACUUAGUAAGCCCACACUAGAUUCGGGGUGUUUUAAAGGUCACAACUGUGGACAAUUAGAGUCAUUCCAAUAUGAUUUUAGAAGUUGAUAAGGUAAGUGAUAGAGGAAUGAGAAAUUCACCUUAAGUCAUAAUUUGGAAAAUGAGUUUUGAACUAAGGAGGGGAGACCUAGUGAAUCAACUUGGACUGAAGAGGAUGUAAGUUCAAAUGAAUGAAGUAUGGGUUAGCAAGUGUUGGUAUUAGUUAUGACUUUGAGGUUAAGAAUAGAAUGCAUGGCGCUAAUGGUUUGUGAGAUUUAGUGGGCAAUUAUCAACUAAGACAGUUUGCUCAAGUAAGGUGUGCCCACUCACGCCGAGCAAUGCUAAAGUCCGUCCAACCAUCGCAAAUGUUGUUAAUGCUACCAUAGGUAUUAUACCUAUAUGUUGUAGCAUUGUGUACAUUUGACUUAUUGGAGUUUUAUCCAUUCGUAUGUUUUACUAUGCAUUGUUACAUGCAUAAUGGGCACCAAACCUUUAAAAUUAAUGUGCGUGACCAUUUCUAUUGGUGACGCAUUUGUCAACAGUAAAUAUAGAAGUCAUUGCCUUAGCACUAUAUGGGUGAUGACAUUGUUAACUCUAGUUUUUGACAUGAUGAGCUACAGUGUCCAACUCAUUUAGUUUGAUAUGUUAAGUAGUUCACCCUUGUCUCAUUUGUAUUGUAAGCGAUGCAAAUUGAGCAUUCAACCCUUAGAUUAGAACUUAUGCGUGGCCACUCAUAUAGAUGACGCCUUUGCUUAUAAGGAGCAUGUGAACAAGUGUGCCAUAGGUAUUAGAGAAAAGACUCUGCCAGCAAAGCUAGCAGUGUUAUGUGUGUAGAGUUCUAAUGUUAGCAUACUUAGCUUUAACAUGUAAUGUGUUGAGUUUUAAUGCCAUGCAUAUAGGAUAUCGGUGUUCGACAUGCUAAACAAUAAAGCUUAUCAUGUUGAACUACAAUGUUAACUCGUUGGAGCUUUGGUGUUAAUUUGGUACGGAUUGACGAUCAAGAAGUAGAAGUGAACGUAGAUAAUCACGAAUGGGAGGUUGUAUUCCUACCCCAUUGUAUAGAGAGUCCAAACUUUGGGGGUCUCGUUUGUGAGUUACUCUGCAAUUCCUCUCUGAUAUCCAACAAUGAUGAAUUUUUGAGAGUGUACACUUGUAUGUUUGGCUUAUUCCUAAGCCAAGCUCAAAAUCGAGUCCGAGUUGGGAACAUCUUGAUAGUACUGAUGUUUCCACUUUAGUAUCGAGUCUAUGUAGUCGUGCAUGGAUUACCAUGUGAUAGACCUAGCGACGAUCUAGGAUGAGUGUUCCAUAAAGAAAACUGACGGCUUGUUCGGUUAACUCAUGAAGCUUUGGUAUUCUUGGGAGAUUGACUUUCUUCUGAGAUACCAUCGACUUUUGGUGCAAAAGGUAAUGUGCCAAAGUCAACGAUCUAUAUAUGGUAUGACCGUUAUGAGUUUUGGUUAUGCCAUUUGGAUUGACAAAUACACCAUCAAUAUUUAUAGAUUUGACGAGUCAAGUGUUCCAUGAAUACCUAGACAAGUGAUAAGUAUAACGUCGACACAUUAGUCUAUUCGGCUAUUUGUGUCGAACAUGGAAGACACUUGGUAUCAAUGUUCGAAGUGCUUAAUAAAAGGAAUUCUUCGCCAAGCUCAUGAGGGGUGAGCUUUGCUUAAGGAAGUGUCAUUCUUGGUUUACGUAAUGAACGAAAAUGGACUCGUAGUCAAUACGUUAGCAAGUGAACACACAGUUGUCCUUGUGCUUAACUACCCAGAAAUUUUUGGAUAUGUGGCUUGCACAGAUACAUCACAAUAGGCGAGGAUGCACCCUUGUAUAAUAACAUGGAUAUAAUUUAUGCUACUUAUCAAUUGUGGAUCAUGAGUAUCGUUAUUCUUCUCAUGAUUCAUAGUCAGUAAUCAUUGUCUAUGUCCUACUAUUUUGUGAGCAAAGCACUCCAGUGUUAAGAGAUGGAGACAUGAGAUAACGUUGAUGGCAAGAUUGAUUCAAAGUGUAAUAGGAGUGUUAGUUCAACGUACCUUCCGCGGGCGAGCAGUUGAUCCAAGAGGGCUAUUUAGAUACUUAAGGGUACGCCUAAGUUGUGCGUGUGGGAAUUUAUAAAGUCGGAUAUAAUACUCGCCGUUGGUUGUGACUACUACUUAUGGUAGUUUACAACUAUUGAUGUUGUAUCGCACGUAACUUCGUAAGGACGCAAAGAUGAACGCCAAUUCAUUUGGCAUAAAGUUGGUGUGAGACGAUCAGUGAGCUUUGAAGUGGUGUAUGAUUCUAGGGAAGAUUGCACUCGUUUAAAGUAGAUAUUCACUACAUAGUGAUGGUAAGUUAUGUAGAUAAACAUCGCGGCAAAUCUAUAUUACAAAUUGGUGAUCUUAUGAAAUACAAGGUGUUGCCAAUGCGAAAUAUGUAACGCUUUGGACAAUAGGGAUGUGCUCAACUCUGAAAAAAUAUUGAGUUGUCCUUAGUGCAAAACGUAUGUCCAUCACAUAAUCGGUCAUGAUGUCUCUUAAUUUUAGAGGUUAUUCAUGACAUUUUCCCAUAUUCCUCCGUUACGAACGUGUCUGCGACUCUCCACUUAUGAUGAACUUUUUCAUAUUCAAUGGAAAUUGAUUUAUGAAGAGGUGUAAAAAGAGUGAUGAUCUAUAAGAAAAUACUAAAUUCAUUUCAUUAGUGAUACCUCUGUGGUGAAAUCACGAUGUUGAGGAAGCCACAUGAGUGCUGGACCGUUAAAUGCGGGAGUGAUCCCUUCAUUUUACCGAAUAAAUACGGGUAUGAUUGUUAUGUCAUACAAUUUUCGCAUAAGUACCCUGGGUAAAACGCAUACGUGCAUGGGUAUUUCUAAUAUAGAAUGCAUGCUCGUAUAUGUGUAAAACGAUUAAUGUUCAAAUUUCGAGGACGAAAUUUUUAUAAGGAGGGAGGGAUGUAAUGUCCGGGACAUUAUUUAAUAAAUAAAGUAUAAAAUUUAAGUAAUUAAUUUAUUAAAUUAAUUUAGUGUCACUAAAAAUAUAAAGGAAUAUUUUUAGGUCUAAAGAAAUAGAAAAGAAAAAGAAAUUAUAAGAGAAAAUAGAAUAAAAAUGAAAUUAUAAGAGAAAUUAGGAAAGAAAAUUGAAAAUAAAAGAAAUUAGAAAAUAAAAUUAUAUAUAUAUAUAUAUAAAUGAGGGCCUGAUGGCCUUUAAAUCAAGGCCAUACGGCCAUCAAGAAAGCUAUGGCCAAUUGGCCAUUAAAAUAAUAAAAUAAAAUAAAAAGAAAAAUCAAAAAGUCAAAAAGGUGAAAGAAUAAAAGAAGAGAGGUGCACGUGCACCUCCCUUCUCAAAUAAUGGAAAGGCCAAAUGGCCUUUCCAAAGCAGAGGCCGUGCGCCUCUGCUGUCUCAAAAAGAAAAGAAGAAAAAAAUGAAAAGGGGUCAUCUGACCCGAGAGAAAAAGAAAUAGGAAGGAGAUGAUUUUUAUACAAAAAUUAUGAUCUAUGAAGAUCCAAUCGUCCAAACUCGAAUCCGACUUCGGUAACGUAAUUCUUGAAGCCCGAUCUACAUUUUGACCGAACGUUUUGAGAUUUUGUGUGGUUUGGAGUUGCUAGGAGCUUCCCGAGCACUGGGUCUUGGUGUGGUGAAUUUUUGCGGCACGUUACGGUUGAGCUUAGAGUCGUUUGGAUAUUGGGAGUACAAGCAAUCUGAGAUGAUGUUUCUUUGGCUGCAGGUACUUCGGUAUAGUCGAUGGGUCAAUAGCAGUGUGCUUGGGAUAUUAUGACUGAAGCUCGCCGCGACAGUUGUAAUGGUCGGACCACGGGUUGUCCACUAUUUUAUAGGUUUGGUAUGGCUUGUGACGUUUGUGUCACUUAUUCUUUGUUAAGCCAUUGUUGUUAUUGUGUUAAUAAGACUCAAACAGAUAGAUGUUAAAUGGCUCUUUGUUGUAAUUAACUUGUGAUAGAUGUAUAAGUUGUAAUUUCCGCUAUUCAGAUU
Alnus glutinosa is the source of this 11933-nucleotide long non-coding RNA. RefSeq lists it as uncharacterized. The record is from RefSeq and is a predicted model, not a curated record. Lineage: Eukaryota; Viridiplantae; Streptophyta; Magnoliopsida; Fagales; Betulaceae. The transcript is spliced from 10 exons.